RNAcentral lists this long non-coding RNA (301 nucleotides) under Monodelphis domestica (gray short-tailed opossum). RNAcentral's name for it is "lncRNA (ENSMODG00000047474.1)". The record is from RNAcentral. Lineage: Eukaryota; Metazoa; Chordata; Mammalia; Didelphimorphia; Didelphidae.
CUCCUCUUUGGCAUGAUGCAGCAAUCAUGGUGGCAUGAUAAAGUGAAGAUUUUGAAAAUGGCUAACCAGCCAUGGAGAAACCAACUCCUCUACCAGCCAGAGUCUUCUCAUCCUCAGGAUUCCAAACUCCUGUCCUCCCUCAUUGAGAUGAUCAGUUCCACACACUCUUCAGCCUGGCACUUUUCUUAUGUGCCAGCCUCUGUCACAAGAUUGAUGUGAGGUGUUUUCUCAUACUUGUGAAUCUAGGCAACUCAGAUAUCUUGUAUGAAAGGCAGUCCCAUUCUUUUCAGCUAGUUACUGU